RNAcentral lists this ribosomal RNA (480 nucleotides) under uncultured bacterium. RNAcentral describes it as "bacterial SSU rRNA". It matches the Rfam family "Bacterial small subunit ribosomal RNA", at positions 27 to 524 of the family's 1533-position model. The record is from RNAcentral.
GAUUGAACGCUGGCGGCAUGCUUUACACAUGCAAGUCGAACGGCAGCGCGGGGGCAACCCUGGCGGCGAGUGGCGAACGGGUGAGUAAUGCAUCGGAACGUAUCCUGUAAUGGGGGAUAACUAAUCGAAAGAUUAGCUAAUACCGCAUACGCUCGGGAGAGGAAAGUGGGGGAUCGCAAGACCUCACGUUAUAGGAGCGGCCGAUGUCUGAUUAGCUAGUUGGUAAGGUAAUGGCUUACCAAGGCGACGAUCAGUAGCUGGUCUGAGAGGACGAUCAGCCACACUGGAACUGAGACACGGUCCAGACUCCUACGGGAAGCAGCAGUGGGGAAUUUUCCGCAAUGGGCGAAAGCCUGACGGAGCAAUACCGCGUGAGGGACGAAGGCUUUUUGGGUCGUAAACCUCUUUUUCUCAAGGAAGACACAGGACGGUACUUGAGGAAUAAGCAUCGGCUAACUCUGUGCCAGCAGCCGCGGUAAU